CCUACGGGAGGCAGCAGUGAGGAAUAUUGGUCAAUGGACGAGAGUCUGAACCAGCCAAGUAGCGUGAAGGAUGACUGCCCUAUGGGUUGUAAACUUCUUUUAUAUGGGAAUAAAACGUUCCACGUGUGGGAUUUUGUAUGUACCAUAUGAAUAAGGAUCGGGUAACUCCGUGCCAGCAGCCGCGGUAAUACGGAGGAUCCGAGCUUUAUCCGGAUUUAUUGGGUUUAAAGGGAGCGUAGGAGGAUUGUUAAGUCAGUUGUGAAAGUUUGCGGCGCAACCGUAAAAUUGCAGUUGAAACUGGCAGUCUUGAGUACAGUAGAGGUGGGCGGAAUUCGUGGUGUAGCGGUGAAAUGCUUAGAUAUCACGAAGAACUCCGAUUGCGAAGGCAGUUCACUGGACUGCAACUGACACUGAGGCUCGAAAGUGUGGGUAUCAAACAGGAUUAGAUACCCGAGUAGUC
This 460-nucleotide ribosomal RNA is filed under the name uncultured bacterium. Its description in RNAcentral is "partial 16S ribosomal RNA". It matches the Rfam family "Bacterial small subunit ribosomal RNA", at positions 338 to 795 of the family's 1533-position model. The record is from RNAcentral.